GUAACGCACGACUUUGGAUUGUUUUCUAUCAUCACUGAUCAUGGUAACCAGGAGGUCGUUACCCGCGGUACAGCAGACACGGCGAGGUCUCCACCCCUGUAGUCUGAUCACGGAAUCCUAAUUUUGGGAUGAAUGUCUCCUGAGUGUUACGUGACAAAACUCUCACCCUACAUACCAGUACACAAAGAACGGGAGAAACCUCUAACAUUAUAGAAUCAUUGAAAUAAAGAAUAAUUCCCAGACUAGAUGAAUACUUUUGUAUCAACGUCAUAUUUUGUUAUUAUCCAGCUGAUCACGUGGCCGCAGCGGUCAGAGUUGAUUCAUGACAGGGAGUCGUGAGUUCGAACUUUUCUCCUGUUGUGGUCAGGUCAAACCUAAGACGUUAACAUAGGUAGUGAUUGCUCUUUCACCAAACGCUUGGCAUUUACAAAUGAAAUUGAUGAGGGAUUUCAGUUAUGACCUUAAUAACGGAGGUCGUGUUAGGCGUUGACAUAUUAUCUAGGUCUUUAAUGAACCUCAUAUCUAUAAUUUAUAAUUUUCAUUGUAAUUAAUAUGAUUUAGGUCGGCUGUAUAUAUGUUUACAUGUAGUGUAGAAAUAUCACAAAGUGUACAUUUAACAACUUGCUGUGGUUAUCAGUUAAUGUAAGAUUGAAUUAAAAUGCGGAAGUG
This is a long non-coding RNA of Ostrea edulis (European flat oyster), 669 nucleotides long. RefSeq lists it as uncharacterized. Lineage: Eukaryota; Metazoa; Mollusca; Bivalvia; Ostreida; Ostreidae. The transcript has 2 exons. The record is from RefSeq and is a predicted model, not a curated record.